UGAACGCGUAAGUAGAAUCGGUCCGAGUGCUCUAAAUGGCUCGGCCGGAUCGCGAUCCACGUCUGUGUGUGCGAUGCAAAACAUUCAACGACGCAAGCGUUAUCUUGGAUCAUAAAUCUUCAGAAUAGAAGAACGCAGAUCGUGCAUUCCGAAUUGCAAAAAUCAUUACAAUAAAACAAUUAAAAUUAAAAUAUCAAUCAAAGAUUUUAUUGUUAGAUAAUAAUCUGUUUCAAAAGAAAAUAUUUCCGUGAGAAGAAAUAAUUUUCAAAAGGGAUGACAGAUAAAAUAACUAACCGUAGAAAACGUGUUUAUCUCAAAUAAAUCAAUAUUGUACGUGUUAAAACAAGUAUAAAAAUCCAACAUGAUAAAACAAUAUGCAAAAUAGAAUGAGAGUUCAACUGAGAACUCGCGGUAAUUCUGUGAAUCACAAAAUGAUUAUGAGAUACCCGUCGCUGAACAACUCAGCACGGCGACUGCCAUAUGAAAUCUUCAGGAAAAAGAAAGUAGAAAUCUACAUAUAUGUAUAUGUAUCAACAUUCCAUUGAGAGCGAUUCGAUUUCAGAUAGGACUCAAUUGCUAUUUUGCAUCAAGAAAUAUUGAUGAGCUCUUUAAAUUUUUUAAAAAAUCAUCUAUGAUUAAAUUAAUCAUCUACAAUAAAGUUAAUGGAUCAUGAUUUAUAAUUAUCAUUCAUAAUUCUUAAAUAGAAAAUACGUAAAAAAAAGAAUUUAGAGUGAAAGCGACAACGUCAUAUGUCGCAACUUACAUAUAUUUUAAGGAAUAUUUUAUCAGGGUCAUGAAUUUCAAGAAUUUAAUUCAAUUAUCAAGAAUUAUAUUAAUUCAAUCUAUUUAUUUUAAUUCAUCUAUUUUAAAAAAUAACCAUAUUGAUUAAUAUUUAAUUAACAAAAUAUCCUGUGUAUCCAAUAAAUUGUAAAAUCCAUAAUUUCGAUACAAAUUCUGCAAAAGAUUUAUAGGACAUUGCUAAUUUCGUCUCGAACACGUGGUAUUCGCGUAACAUUAAAUUUGUUAACACAAGGUGAGAAUGUUUUCCAAAUUGAUUAUCGAAUAAAUACAAGUUGUGUCAGUUCCCGUUUUACUCAUAUAUUAAUCUCGAUGAUAUUCAUUUUAUAUUAUGAAUUAUUAAAAUUUUAAUUUCUCAAAACUAUUUGUACUAUUAUUAUUAUAUCUUUAUUGAAAUAAAGAAGGUAUGUAACAUAGAUAUUUACUA
This is a long non-coding RNA of Apis cerana (Asiatic honeybee), 1225 nucleotides long. RefSeq lists it as uncharacterized. Lineage: Eukaryota; Metazoa; Arthropoda; Insecta; Hymenoptera; Apidae. The record is from RefSeq and is a predicted model, not a curated record.